CCUACGGUAGGCAGCAGUGGGGAAUAUUGCACAAUGGGGGAAACUCUGAUGCAGCGACGCCGCGUGAGUGAGGAAGUAUUUCGGUAUGUAAAGCUCUAUCAGCAGGGAAGAAAAUGCCGGUACCUGACUAUGAAGUCCCGGCUAACUACGUGCCAGCAGCCGCGGUAAUACGUAGGGGGCAAGCGUUAUCCGGAUUUACUGGGUGUAAAGCGAGCGUAGACGGCUAAUCAAGUCAGAAGUGAAAUCCCAGGGCUCAACUUUGGGACUGCUUUCGAAACUGAGUAGCUAGAGUGCAGGAGAGGUAGGCGGAAUUCCUAGUGUAGCGGUGAAAUGCGUAGAUAUUAGGAGGAACACCGGUGGCGAAGGCAGCUUACUAGGCUAUAACUGACGUUGAGGCUCGAAAGCGUGGGGAGCAAACAGGAUUAGAUACCCUAGUAGUC
Molecule: ribosomal RNA, 440 nt
Filed under: uncultured bacterium
Lineage: Bacteria
Description: partial 16S ribosomal RNA
Rfam family: Bacterial small subunit ribosomal RNA
Source: RNAcentral